Molecule: non-coding RNA, 22 nt
Filed under: Xenopus tropicalis (tropical clawed frog)
Lineage: Eukaryota; Metazoa; Chordata; Amphibia; Anura; Pipidae
Also listed under: 6 other names
Source: RNAcentral
AGCAGCAUUGUACAGGGCUAUG